CUUCCCUUCGACUGGGCCCCUAGGAAGGGAGCUGGGAAGGGAGUUACCAUCUGGGCUCUCCGGCGCCGCCUACUGAACAUUUUUGCCUGGGUUCAGAGGACCCCGCCUCCUAAAGCCACUCAUCCCAUCGGGCCUGAUUUCCUUACCCAAAUAAUACCGGAGGUGCCAGGGAGAGGAAGUCCAGCACUAGAUCAAAGCAAGAAAACUGCCAAGUUUCUUAAACAGACUGCCCUGCGUUCUCACCUGUGAUGCAGAUGUCUCACCGAUUCCCUCUGUUUGCGCCAAGGAGAGAAGGCUUUCAUGGAAUGUAGGAAUUCCUGACCGUGGGAUUUUAAGAACUGCAACUUUCAUGAAAUGGACCUUCACACGCUUUUCUCUGAAGGCCUCUAGCAGGUACAGACCUGGACUUAGGUGGAAAACCCUUCUAGUGCCCAUGAUUCUCACACAGACCCCAUGCAUGGCUCUCACAUAGGCCUCAGCCUCAGAAGUAACACCACGCAUGGACUAUAUCCAGUGGUCUACCUGUGGGGAAGGAUUCAACUCCUGAGGGUGUCACUCCCGAACAGUUCACCA
Non-coding RNA from Myodes glareolus (Bank vole), 573 nucleotides. The record is from RefSeq and is a predicted model, not a curated record. NCBI's taxonomy places the organism in Eukaryota, Metazoa, Chordata, Mammalia, Rodentia, Cricetidae.